GCCUUGCUAGCUCAAUUGGUUAGAGCGUGAGACUCUUAAUCUCAAGGCUGGGGGUUCGAGUCCCCCGCAGGGCU
This 74-nucleotide transfer RNA is filed under the name Lichtheimia ramosa. RNAcentral's name for it is "tRNA-Lys (CTT) (tRNA-Lys-CTT-2-1)". It matches the Rfam family "tRNA". From Rfam's summary of the family: Transfer RNA (tRNA) molecules are approximately 80 nucleotides in length. Their secondary structure includes four short double-helical elements and three loops (D, anti-codon, and T loops). The record is from RNAcentral. Lineage: Eukaryota; Fungi; Mucoromycota; Mucoromycetes; Mucorales; Lichtheimiaceae.